Molecule: ribosomal RNA, 322 nt
Filed under: uncultured eukaryote
Lineage: Eukaryota
Description: partial 18S ribosomal RNA
Rfam family: Eukaryotic small subunit ribosomal RNA
Source: RNAcentral
CCCUUAGAUGUUCUGGGCCGCACGCGUGCUACACUGAGUGGAUCAGCGGGUCAGGUUUCGCGAAAGUGUUUCCUAAUCUUGAAAUCCGCUCGUGAUGGGGAUUGACGGUUGCAAUUUUCCGUCAUGAACGAGGAAUACCUUGUAAGCGCGGGUCAUCAUCCCGCGCUGAAUACGUCCCUGCCCUUUGUACACACCGCCCGUCGCUCCUACCGAUUGAGUGGUCCGGUGAGGCUUUGGGAUCUGAGCGGAAAGAGCGUUUCGCUGUUUCUGCUCGGAAAACUCAGUCGAACCUUAUCAUUUAGAGGAAGGAGAAGUCGUAACA